RNAcentral lists this ribosomal RNA (527 nucleotides) under uncultured bacterium. Its description in RNAcentral is "bacterial SSU rRNA". It matches the Rfam family "Bacterial small subunit ribosomal RNA", at positions 777 to 1303 of the family's 1533-position model. The record is from RNAcentral.
AAUAGAUACCCUGGUAGUCCACGCCGUAAACGAUGAGUGCUAAGUGUUAGAGGGUUUCCGCCCUUUAGUGCUGCAGCUAACGCAUUAAGCACUCCGCCUGGGGAGUACGGUCGCAAGACUGAAACUCAAAGGAAUUGACGGGGGCCCGCACAAGCGGUGGAGCAUGUGGUUUAAUUCGAAGCAACGCGAAGAACCUUACCAGGUCUUGACAUCCUCUGACAACUCUAGAGAUAGAGCGUUCCCCUUCGGGGGACAGAGUGACAGGUGGUGCAUGGUUGUCGUCAGCUCGUGUCGUGAGAUGUUGGGUUAAGUCCCGCAACGAGCGCAACCCUUGAUCUUAGUUGCCAGCAUUUAGUUGGGCACUCUAAGGUGACUGCCGGUGACAAACCGGAGGAAGGUGGGGAUGACAUCAAAUCAUCAUGCCCCUUAUGACCUGGGCUACACACGUGCUACAAUGGAUGGUACAAAGGGCUGCAAGACCGCGAGGUCAAGCCAAUCCCAUAAACCAUUCUCAGUUCGGAUUGGUA